GAUGAACGCUGGCGGCGUGCCUAAUACAUGCAAGUAGAACGCUGAAGGAGGAGCUUGCUCUUCUGGAUGAGUUGCGAACGGGUGAGUAACGCGUAGGUAACCUGCCUGGUAGCGGGGGAUAACUAUUGGAAACGAUAGCUAAUACCGCAUGACAACAGUUAUUGCAUGAUAACUGUUUAAAAGGGGCAACUGCUCCACUACCAGAUGGACCUGCGUUGUAUUAGCUAGUUGGUGAGGUAACGGCUCACCAAGGCGACGAUACAUAGCCGACCUGAGAGGGUGAUCGGCCACACUGGGACUGAGACACGGCCCAGACUCCUACGGGAGACAGCAGUAGGGAAUCUUCGGCAAUGGACGGAAGUCUGACCGAGCAACGCCGCGUGAGUGAAGAAGGUUUUCGGAUCGUAAAGCUCUGUUGUAAGAGAAGAACGAGUGUGAGAGUGGAAAGUUCACACUGUGACGGUAUCUUACCAGAAAGGGACGGCUAACUACGUG
Molecule: ribosomal RNA, 495 nt
Filed under: uncultured bacterium
Lineage: Bacteria
Description: partial 16S ribosomal RNA
Rfam family: Bacterial small subunit ribosomal RNA
Source: RNAcentral